Molecule: long non-coding RNA, 482 nt
Filed under: Salvia miltiorrhiza (redroot sage)
Lineage: Eukaryota; Viridiplantae; Streptophyta; Magnoliopsida; Lamiales; Lamiaceae
Description: long non-coding RNA (SMIL_LNC003838)
Source: RNAcentral
UCAGACGAUGAGAAUUCUUAUGACAUUAGCAAACCACAGUUACCUAGUUUAAUCUCUAAAUUUAUCAAAAUAGGAACACAGAACAGACCCCUUUAACUUCAAACCACACACCAUUGUUUAUAUAAAGACUUAUACAAAGAAGAAGAGGAAGAUAGAACAAAGACUUAGCUUUUAGAAGGGCGGUUGCUCCGUUCGGUCGAAGCUGAGCCGACGAUGGCAACGGCAAACACUUGCUGCUCCAUCGAACUCCGACAACAGCAGCGGAUCGGCGGGCCUUCACCUGCCGCCGGGAGGAGCAGCAGCAACGGUCCAAGGGGCAGCAGCGGCGCGGUGAGAGGCGUAGGCCUUCUUACUCCAGUCGCCGGAGGAGAGAAUCGCUGGAGGCAGCAAGCUUCUCCCCGCCACUCGCAGAUUGUGGAAAAACGACGGCAGAGGUCGGCUGAACGGGAAGCAUAGGGCUUCUUCCCAGCCGCGCUGAAAGG